Molecule: ribosomal RNA, 120 nt
Organism: Lottia gigantea (owl limpet)
Lineage: Eukaryota; Metazoa; Mollusca; Gastropoda; Lottiidae
Source: Rfam
GUCUACGGCCANUACCACGUUGAAAGCACCAGUUCUCGUCCGAUCACUGAAGUUAAGCAACGUCGGGCUCGGUUAGUACUUGGAUGGGUGACCGCCUGGGAACACCGAGUGCGGUAGACU